RNAcentral lists this ribosomal RNA (253 nucleotides) under uncultured bacterium. RNAcentral describes it as "partial 16S ribosomal RNA". It matches the Rfam family "Bacterial small subunit ribosomal RNA", at positions 524 to 776 of the family's 1533-position model. The record is from RNAcentral.
UACGUAGGCAGCGAGCGUUGUUCGGAGUUAUUGGGCGUAAAGGGCGCGUAGGCGGCUAGAUGUGUCAAAGGUGAAAUCCCUCGGCUCAACUGAGGAACUGCCUUUGAAACUGUCUGGCUUGAGGCCGGGAGAGGGUAGCGGAAUUCCCAGUGUAGCGGUGAAAUGCGUAGAUAUUGGGAGGAACACCAGUGGCGAAGGCGGCUACCUGGACCGGUUCUGACGCUGAGGCGCGAAAGCGUGGGUAGCAAACAGG